Molecule: small RNA, 8433 nt
Filed under: Rattus norvegicus (Norway rat)
Lineage: Eukaryota; Metazoa; Chordata; Mammalia; Rodentia; Muridae
Description: uncharacterized LOC102555866
Source: RNAcentral
CCUAUCUAUCUAUCAUCUAUCUAUCUAUCAUUUAUCUAUAUGUAUGAAGAUAGAGCAUGUUUAGAUAUAAAAUAUUUAUGGAUCACUCAUGAAGUUGCAGUGGUUGUCAUCAUUGAAAAUAAAGCAUCAGUUUAAUUACUUUGAUUCAUAUAUAACCAAACAGGCUAUAGCUAGUGUGCAUUCUUGUAUAUGAAUGCAUGGAAAUAUAAUACCUUGUUUUAAGACAGCAUUUUAAAUGCUAUCUCUUUAACCUGAAUUCAGUGACCAGAAAGAGCAAGUAUAAAUUCUGACCUCUGGCCAUCGAAACAGCAAUAGCAAGCAGUAUUUGCUUGCAAGUGGAUGGUGCCUGGCAGAGGAGAAAAAAACAAGAACAAAACCAAUAAACACAAGAUACAGGAACCUCACAGACUCAAAGAAGCCCAGUCAAAAACAAAAUAAUUGGUGCCUACCAGCAUUCAUACAUUCAACUAUCCUCACUGCUUUCCAUCUAGACACCCAAGUAUAGAAAGGAACCUAUGGAUAGACCUGAUACCAUGGAGUCAUCUGCACAUAGAAGACAGAAAAACUAUUCCAAAUAAUUAAAUUCAAGAAGCAGGUUGUCUUGCCCUUUAACAUAAUGGGGAUGGACAUAUUUUAUUAAAUAAGUGGUGGAAUGAUGGUGGGUUAGGGGCUGGGGCAGAUUUUGGGUGUUCUAUAUCCAGUGAUCCACUGGGAAAUUUCAUAAGAAAAAAAAAGGUGUGGUUUGGAGGAAAAGGAAGAAGGUGAUGAUCUGCCAUGCUGGAGUCAAGUGCAUUUGGGGAGAGAAAGAAAUAGGGAUUACUAUUUUAGCUAGAGUAUCCCUUCCUAUAAAUUGUACAGGACAGUUUAAUUCUACUAGAAAUAGGUUGAAUAAGAGGAUAUCCCUAAAACAACUGAUAAGUGGUGGAGUCUGAUGAAAUUGUUACUACUAUUUCCUUAUGUUAACAAUAAAAAAAUCUAGAGGAGAAUUGAAUCUCCAAAACUUUUAUCAGGACUGAAAAUGUGGUGACAGUAUGUAGAAGGAAGGAGCUGGAUCACUCUAAUGCUGUGAUUACUACCUGAGGCUUCCUCUCAGAGAUGAUGUCGGUUAGGACAGGAGAACCUGAGCAACCUCAGUCAUCUAUGGCCAGACCUAGAAGGUUAGCUAGAAAGUGAUCUGGUCUUGAUGUCCUCAUGCUGAGGAGGACAGGAGGACAAUAGGGAAGGGUUGGACACAACCAAAAGUGCCACAAAUGACCAGAGAAAUGGUGGGAUUAUAGGCACAUUGAAUAGAAGGCAAAAGAACAGAGUGGGAAGGCGCACAAAAGUCCUGUUAGAUUAAGAAACUACAGGAUUUCAGCUCCCAUGGUGGGAGGCUGAAUGGAGUCAAGUGAAGAGAGGGCCAGCAUAAACUUGAAGUCCAUGUCUAGAGAUAUUUUCACAUCCAAAAGUACCAGAGGUGUGCUGGACCCUCACCAGUCAUUUCCUUGGACUCAGGAAUAUAUUGUCACUGAGGAAAGAGGAAACUUACCUAAUUUCCACCACUGGAUGGUGGUCUAAGUGACUGAUGGAUUGGAAGUUAUGUUUGUUGCAGGUAGCCUGCAGUCAACAACUCCAGUGCAGAAUGGACCCUGAAGAGGAAUUCAAGCACCAACAGAGCCUAUGCAACCACAUCUUGUAUAUAAUUCAUCUGCAUGGUCACAAAUAGAAAGUGAAGAUCAACCACAAUGACUUCAAAUGGGACUCUAUUCUGCAGAUGCUUAUCUUCAGAUCUCAGCCUGGACAUGAUUUGCAAUAGUGCAGACAAAGACUAUAUUUAAACAAUUUUAGAGUUAUGGAGGUUUGCUGUGACGUAUGGAGGUUGAUAAAGCAGAACUGAGUUCCCUGACCUGGGUGAUACUUCUUUCUGAAAGAAAUUUCUAAGAAAAAAAUGGAGAAAAGAACCUGGGUAAGUAUCUAAAAAAGAAGCAAUAUGUCAAACGAAAGGAUCCAAGGUGGUUUUGAAACAUCUAAUCCAAAGAUCAUUUAGCAGAAAACUAAAUUGGGGCCAUUCCAUCCCUGGUUAUUGCUAGAAAACCUUGUAAUUCUGUUUUUCAAGUUCCAUUUCCUGUCAUUACCAGAACAUCAGCUGAGGGUUUACAGAGAUAACACACUAUAUCACAUUACUUGUUUUAAGGGCCCUAUAUAUAGUGUUCUAGAAGACCAUUCCUCAUGCUAAAUUCCGGAAAGAAAAAAAUUGGUCAAAUACUGGAUGUGCCUAUUAUUCUUAUGCAUUCCACAGUGUCCGACACCCUCAGAGUGAGCAGAAUGAUAGCAUUAUGGCUAUUAAAGUUGGAAACCCCAGUAUGUUUCCAAUUCCAGGUAUAGACACAUAGAGUAGGAGGAUUAUAUCCCUUGGAAAUAUCCAUUUUGAUAUUGUAUGUCGGUGUGGACGUUUCCCUUCAUAAAACUGGGAAGAGGGAUAUGGCUAGAAGGAGAAUCUGUGGAAGUAAAACAUUUCCUGAAUAAUGUAACAGAUAGUAAAUUUCUCCUCCAUACACCUGUGAAUGGUAUAUCACUCCUCUGCUCAGCCCCUUCUUGUCAUACACUUAGAUCUUGAGCCCUUGACCUUUCAAUAGAUGAGGACAAGUUGUUUCGCAAAUAUGCACAUUUUUGGGGUCCUAAAAAUUAGAAGAAUUUCACCAGUCAUAGAAGUUCAGCAAACCAAAGUCUUUAUUUGAAUUAGGCAGCAAAACCUGACCAUCCAGAGACAACAGCUCAGACUCUAGGGUUGACUAUGUCUUUGUUUAUCUUAGUAAGUAUUUAAGCAGAUGAUUAAUUUUUAUUUUACUCAAACUACUGCUGAUUAAUCUGGGCCUCAGGUCAGAGUCAGAAUUUGAACUGUGAGAAAUAGGAAAGUAUGCAAUGCUUUUUAAAGAGGAUAAUACAAAUUGAAGAGGAGUGAGAUUGGUUGUGGUGUUGAUCAAUUAUAUUUUGACAGAAGAAUUUGAGCAACGGUGUAUCAGUGACUGGGUCUUAUAUGGGCCACUUGAUUUCAAGGUCUUCCACCCAGAGCUUUGGUGAUCAGAUCUUAUACUGGAUAUUUGGCCUGUUACUCAAUCAAUAUAAAGCAGGAACAUAGGAAUGGGCCAAGUGCCUGGUGUUAAUUAAGGCAUUAUAGCUAAUACUUUUACAAUUGUGUACCUCAGUUUAGGUAUUAAGUAACAUUUUCUUUUACCUUCUUUUGUGAAAUACUGGUUAACAAACAAGAAAGACUAGACAUAUGAGUUGCUACUCUAUACUUAUUUCCAGCAUGAUAGAGAUGCUGGGAGACCACUGUCUUUUUACACACCCUAUACACAAUCUUCAUGUACCUGAAUCAAAUCUUUGAUGGUAAUUCUCCUGGCCCUUAAAUAAACUUGCAGCAUUAAUGUGAUAUUGACCAAAACAUAAAAAAUGUUUAUCAUGGAAGUGCCAUAAAUCUUAACCAGGAAAAACAAAACUUGUUUUUUGGUAUGUGAAUUCGCAUUAUAGGUAGCCAUUUUCCUCUUAUGGUAGAGCAUUUCCUUUUGACUUAGUAUUUCAGCCUAUUAGGUAAGAAAAUGUUUGCUGUAUUCUCAUCUUUAACUACUUCCAACUGACUUUAGGACAUUACUAUUAGGGCUCUGGAUGACUGAAAGUGUAAUCAAAGGCUAUUGAUGGGGAAUUUAUCAGAAGCAAUCACAUAUUUUGUAAUAGUUUAAAUCAGCUUUUAGCAAUUCCAGUGCUUAAGAGCUUUCAGUGAUUGUCAGUCAAGAAGAUACUGAGACAAAUAUGGAUUAUGGACAGAAGUUAAAAUUUUCCAGCAAUUGGGAAAGGUGAGGAAUACCAAGACCAAAUGGACAAUCCCAUUUUCAGGAACAGACAAGUGUAUCUAAAGUCUCUUUGAUGUGUGACAGGUAGAUCAAGUCUUAUGAUUUCCUAAACCAUGUGCAAAUAUUAGUUUACAAAAGGAGGUAUAUUAGUAUUAUGAUUGUAUUUACAUCUCUAUUUAAAAAUAGUGAACAGAUAUCUGUCAGACAUCAAGUAUAGAUUCAUGCCUUUGUGACCUAGAAAAAGCUAUAGCUAUGGUUUAAAAGCCUGAUGAGAAGCACUGUUAAGUUUAUAUUCAGAAGACAACUCAAGGGGGUUUAAAAACUUGAGCUUGUGACUAGAAAAUAAGCACCCAGUACUCUACAAUGUUAUCAGAAUGCCAUUGAUCAAUGGUAACAUUCUGAUCUUUGGAAAUCUUAGUAUAAUGAUAUCAUAGAAAGCGGUAUUAAUAUGAAUCAUUUCUCAUUUUUCUUAUAACUUAUAUCACUGUCUUGCACCUCUGCUGCCUGAUGCUAAUUGCUCUUGUGAGUUGGAGAUGAGGAGACACAGAAUCAAUGGCACAGAUCCUGGAAUGGAUUGGAACAUCCCAGCAGCCUUAUAUGAAUACUGCUACAAGCUCAUUUAAUUAGUCACAGAAGGGUGCUCUUUAUAAAGUGCACCUGCAUUUUAUUGGUCAAUGCAAGCUUCUCUUCUAAGCAUAAUUCCCAACAACCUGGAUGAUCUGCAUCAGCAAUCCUUAGUCUUUCUGGCAGUCUCCAAGUAGGUCCUUCUGCAGGGGUUGCCUUUGUCUCUUUGCUCUGUGCUACAACAUUUAUGGAGAGGCAGCCACUUCCAUUUCUUCUACAUUUCCACACAUUUGUUUUUAGACUUUGACAGCCUAGUGCAAGCCAGGGUGCCAUUUCCUCCACAUUGUUGUCUCCACGUUGGAGUGUUCCCAGUAUACUAGACUGUGACUGUCUCUAAUUUUCCUGUCUUCCAGGAUCUUACCCAUCAUUGAAUAUCAGCCCUCAAAGUGACAUCACUACCGAGGCAUGUAACACAAGGGAGAGAUGAGAAAGAGCCUAUGGUGGUCUCACCCAUCUCAGACAUCCAGGCUUUGCUCACUUCCUUAGGGGUUGCACAAUCAGGAUUUUCAGGGCUUUCAGGAUUUUCAAGAACCAUCAGCAACUGGAGGGUCAUCUUAUUUGUGGAGUAUUGCCUGGAAAUAUGAUGUGUGAGGUACUUAAAAUAAUUAUCAGUAGGACAAUUCUUCCCAUCAUAGCAUAAAUGGCUAUUCAUGAGGGGACAAACACCCUCUUAAAAUUGUCCUACACUUUUCUCAAGAAUAUGACAUCUAGGAAAAGCAAAGAGAACAUGAUUAGUUUGGCUAUGUUCUUCUUUAGCAGCACAUAGUAGCUAAGGGGUUUGUUUGACUAGGUGCCUUAAAUAUAUUGAACCACAUGUGGUUGAGCUUCAGUAACAUUAUGUACCUGGAAAAUGGUUAGGAAUAUUUAGUGAGACCUGGAAUCACAGGUCAAUAUAGAAAUGUUAGUAACAAUGCCAACUCUGCUGUCAUUAAGUCAAUCUGUUAUAAAAUGUGAAUGGCUUCAUAAAGUUGAUGAUCUAUUACCUCCUGUGCCUGUAGUGCUUCAGAUGACUUAGAGAUUAUGACAUUGACAUUCUCUGCCAUAAUGUCCGUCUGAGUCAAUGCAAUAAUAUCUGGUGUCAACCAUGCAGUGCCUGCAGUGAUGGCUGGUCCAUUGUUGAAUACCACAUCCAGCAAGUUGUCAGGAGAAGUUUUCAUUAAAACAGUUAAGACUGAUCUGAUAAUAAUGACCAUAAAUAAAAAAGGGAGGUCAGACACAGACUACUGUGAUUUUUCAGCCAACCUGGCUGCCAGGAGUCACAUUCACAAGGGUUGUCCAUUUUAUGCUUAAGACAAUCACUUUAUAUGGAAAUAUAUCCCAUUAACAAGAUGGCCACAUUUUAGGAGAGCAAGGGGGCAUAAAUCAAGACUGUUAGAGGGGUCACAUAAAUACCAAUAGUUAUAAUGGACUCAUGUCAGAAUUGAAUAGAAUCCCUGUUAACAAAGGGAAUAAUAUUGGAAGGAUCAUGUGAGGUAAACAUUCACAUGAAAUUUUUGAGGUUAGAUGACAGUAUCAGGUAGUCCCUGGUAAAUCUUACACCUAGUGCAGCUUGGCAGUGCUCCAAAAAGAUAGGAAGUCACACAAAAAAUAGGCAUUUGAGGAAUCCUUGCACAGUGAGGUGAACAUAAUGUGCUUGGGGAAACUUUUGGUAUUUGUAAUCAAUACGGGGAAAUGUGAAGUUUCAUACCUAACAUGAUGCUAUAGGUUAGCUUACCAUGAAAGUUCCCCAUGGUUACAUUAUACAGUUAAAUACAAGAGCCAAUGGUUGAGAAAUUGAUGGUAAAGCAGAAAGUUUCCUCUGUGGGAUGCUUGCCUUUUAAUCACCAUUUUGUAGUGACUACAUCCACAAAGGGCAAACUGAAAUUCACAUUGCAAGAAAAAACAACAAGGUAGUGCUGGAAAUUAACUGCAGCCAGCAAAAUAAUUGGCCACUGGUCCACCCAGAUAUCAGUUUCAGAUAGCCAGGACAAUUUUACAGGGUCAGGUACCUUGAUGUCGAUUGGCACUGGGUGGGCAGUGGCCAUUAUAAUUGGGGUUGAUCCACAAUUUUUGAUCCACUUGGUCAUGUUGUAUUAUGUCUUCAAAAAAGCCAAGUAUUUGUAGUAAGGACAUCACUCAUGUCUUCUAGAAUAUCUCUUGCCCAGAUGUUGCAGGGAAUAUCAGCCAUAACAGGUGUAAAAGACCCCUAUUUGCAAUCUAAGUCCUGCCAAGAAACAGGGUCGUAGUCACUCUUGUGCCUUGUUGGGCUCCCACUCCUGUAAUGGAGGGAACAGGCUGCAAUCUCCAAUGUGGUAACCUCAAUGAAUCAUUUUAUGUUAUUAUUGUGACAUCUGCCCCUGUGUGAAGCAAUCUUUUAACAAUCUAAAUGUAUACUCAUCAUUUUGAAAUGAGCAAACACAGGCAAGGUCCAAAUACUCCUGGACAAGAAGGGUUCCCUCUUACUGGCAGGGCUAAAGAGUGUCCCCUUUGAAAUUUACAUUGUCUUCCUGCUUUUGAGAACAGCAAUCCUUAGCCCAUUGGAAAUCUUUUUUACACCUGAGACAACUGGUCUUGGACCUAGUUGAAGAACAAUACUGUCUGAGUUGACAAGGCUUGCCACAACCUCAACAGGUGCAAUCAGGUGGCCUUUCAGGAGGAAGGUUUCUCUUCUGUACACACUCCAUGACCAAAGCAGCAAUGAAAGCAGUCAGUACUGUAAUGGGGCCUGCACCAGGGUCCAAAUCAUGAGGGUGAACAACCUUUAUAUGGAUAACAUCAUUGCUUCAGUCUGCCAUAGCAUUUCCAGUAGCAAUGUUAAGGCCCUGCCAUUCAAGCUGCUUGAUGAUCAUGUCUCUGGGGACAUCACUGACCAUCCUUUUCUCUGCCUCAGUCACACAGGCCAGAAGACUCUGAAGGACUCCCAAGACUGCUGGUUAAUUCUAGCCUGAUUCUCAGCAAAGUCACAAUAUUCAGACUUCCAAUUAAGAAACAUGGGUGGUUUUAACACCACCUUCUGAAGAUUAUACCUAUAUAACAUGUCUGCAGAGACCUCAGAAAGAUAAACAUGAAUAUGCUGCCUCAAAUCUUUUCACCACAGUGCUGAUGUGUAGAUGAAGAUCUGGGUUUUAAUUUUCUGUCAGCUUCAUCAGGGAUAAAAAAAUAUGACAUCCAAGGAUCCUCCAUGAAGAGCCACCAAGAAAGUCUUCACCUACAGAGCUUCCUUCUACACCCUCAUGGAAGGAUUCCCUGUGCUCCUAGUAGCACCCACCACUAAACUCAAGCCUACCACCAUCCAGAAAGGACUCGCCCAGUGGGACCAGCUGGAGCUCCACCCCAUCCCCCAUCCCCGGCCUAGAUCCAGCCUCUGAGCCUCCAUUUCAUUCUCAGCUCUUCUGAGGCAUUCCAGGGGUGACUGGAUGCCCAAGAGCCUGAGAACCAGAUGGCUCCGGCGUCUUUGCAGACUUGGGACCUGACCUGAGAGCCAGCUCGGGCUGUUUCCAGUACUCAGACUAUGCUUCCCCACACACCCCAGAGGGGUGUCCCACAGCUUUCCACAGCUCAACACCGGCCUGGUGACAGCAUGGAGUAGUGUGAUCAAACUUCCUGCAUCCAGCCUUCCAGAGACUAAUCCUACAGCAUCUCAGUUGUUUGAUUUUCAUUUCCCUGAUGAUUAAGCAUGUUGAACAUUUCUUUAAGUGCUUCUUGGAUAUUCAAGAUUACUCAGUUGAAAAUUUUCUGUUUAAUUUUAUAACAUUUUUUUAAAUUCGAUUAUUUGUUGUUUUGGUGUCUAACCUUUUGAUUCUUUAUAUAUAUUGGAUAUUAGCCCUUUGUCAGAUAGCGACUUGGUGAAGAUCUUUUCUCAUGUUUAGGCUACUGUUUUGUCUUCUUUAGAGUAUCUAUUGCCCUACAGAAGCUUUCAGUUUUAUGAAGUUAUGAUUAUCAACUAUCAAUGUUAGAGCCCUAGCCAUUGUUCUCUUCAAUAAAAUUUCUCCUAUGCCAA